Non-coding RNA from Meleagris gallopavo (turkey), 4857 nucleotides. The record is from RefSeq and is a predicted model, not a curated record. NCBI's taxonomy places the organism in Eukaryota, Metazoa, Chordata, Aves, Galliformes, Phasianidae.
UGUAAAGAUUUACAGGCUGAAACAGUUGAGUACACAGAAAAAAUAUGCUGGGAGUUAGUUUUCAGUCAAAAACUUGAUUUAUGAGCAUCAACAAAACAUGGACUACAUGCAAUAUUACUUUUCUAAGUAUAGAGACAGUAUUUUGAAGCUAUCUCGUACAUAUAAUGUUUUUGUUGCUAAAAUUGGAAGAGGAUUCUGCUAUCCAUACUUGUUUAAGGGAUGGAAUUAAGUUUAGGUAACUGAAAUUCUGAGUGAUUGUGAGGUCUUAAGUAUUUUGCCCAGUUUGUUCUCUUUGUUCUCCCUUUGAAAUUGAAUGCGUUUACUUGAACACCUUCUUGGAGAUGCUCUCUUCCAGAUUCAACAGCUGGUGGUUUUUUACAAGUUAUAGCUGCAGGCUGUCAAACAUUGGUUUGAACCAGCAGUGAGCUUCUUCUAGCUUGUGAUCAGGGGAAGAUAGCAGCAGUUAGAAUUGCAGGGAGAACAGUUAAAUGCAAGCUCUGUUUUAAUUCUUGAGCUGUGGGAGAAAGGGUGAAAUGGCAAGCACUUAUUCAAAUCUUUCUCCUGUGCUAAUGGAUAGGUGUUCACCAUGAUGCUGUCUUGAAGAUUCCCCUUUUCUAGAAGCGUAAUAAACACAAGUUUCUUCAGCACAGUGUAAAAUAGAGACAUUGGGAAGAGAGGAAGGAAUAGAAGCUGAGAUUAUCUUUGCCAGAAUAGCAAAAAGCUCUGUAGAAGCAGUCUCCUGCUAUUAAAUUUUUUUUCCCAAUCACAGAACAGUACUUAAACUGAUAAGCAGCAUGUAAAAUGUCAAGCAAAGUAUUUCUAUUACAUUUUUUUUUUAAAUUAUACUUUGUGUUGGUUAAUACCUUGUAAAAAUCUGUAAGUCUUUUCACCCCCAAGUACUAUGGUAAUCCAUGCACACUAUAAUAAUUGGGGUACUGCUGUGAAGUAGUGCUAGGAUGAGGUAAUGCAUUGAUAAAUGAUUUCUCAGAGUAUGGAGUUGAAUGUGAUUUGGAAUUAUGCAUACAGUUGGCCGCAGCACUCUUAUUUGAUUGACAGCCUCCUGAGCCUGAUUUAAAACAAAAAAACAAACAGCUUUUAAGAGCUUUCUCCCCAGCUUGCUUAAGUUCUCUUAAUCACAUGAAAGAUGAAACUUCAAUCUUAAAAGUAAAAACACUAAUUGGAGUUGAAAAGAUCAAGAAUAUGCAUCACGCCCCCUGAGAGGCCUCUAUUUGUGAUUCAAAGGGUUACUUGGUGCAUAGACAGAAAUACCAUCUUGCAACUUCUAAUGACUUGUAGUUCUAUCACCAACUACUCCCACCUGUUCUGACUCCAUAACAGACUUUUUCAGUUUACUUUCUGCUGCUGCUUUACAUUUCUUCAGAUUUUCAACCAUUUUUUCUAGUAUCUAGGUAGAAAAAAUAGUAUCUUCUAGGAAUUCUUUUCAUGCUACAAAUAAAAAUCUGCAAUAUAAUAUAUCUCCAAUUCUUACUGUAAAGAAUUCGGUAAGUUUGAGUUUUAUCAUUUAAAGAAUAAAUCUCUGUAUCUGACUUUAAUGUUGUUGCUUGGUCUUCCUGGAGCAGAUACUUUAAGAUUUACAGAAGCUUUUUAAAGUGAGAGUCAUAAAGUCUUUUUACCACUGCUUCUGCAUUGCCUUUUCAUAAAAUGCUUCCACAGGAGUCUAGCCAUCUAUUCACACCAUUAGUGCUUCACCUGAUGUCUGUCUUCCCUCUGUUGCUCUCCCCUUAUCCCCACUUCUAGCUGGGGCUCCAGCUGCCUGUUCUGCACUUGCACCUUAGCUUGGUUUUCUGAUAAAUUUUGCAUCUCACUGUGCAAACUAUUCAACUUUGACACAAUUUUUUGGAUGUGCUGUAGACUACACAACAUAACACAGAAGACAGCACAAGAAUUCCAGUAACUUCUUGUCAGGGAACUGGUCAAGAAAGCUCACGUGUUCAUAAUUAUUCUCCAGAUACUACUCUUUUAUUGCUUCUGCUUCCCUCAGUUAAGAUUCUCUCUCUUGGAAAUUGUUGAAAGAGGGGAAAAAACAAACCAAAAAACUUCCUGAAUUUUUCAGGCUUGCUGUUACAUUGGGAAUAUUUCUACAAAUAUCUGCAAAUUUCUUAUUUCUUGUCCUGUGGAAGACUGAAGUCAAGAUAACAUGUGCUUCAUUGGAGAAAGGGAAAACAAGCAGGUGACAGAGUUACAGAGGAACCUAGGUUCCCAUUUGGAAUUGGGUAUAAGUCAAAACGUAAGUUUUACUCAAGUAUUAAGAAUGAGAGGAGGCUAAUCACCAUAGAGAUCAGCCUUUGGCACAGUUGAUCAUUAAAUCAACUAUCUGCAAAAUCAGCAAGUAGGUAAAUGCUACUAUAAAAACUAUGGUGUGGAGGGUGAAACAGGACUCUCUAGCAUUGUAUUUUAUAUAGGAGGGAGGAAGAGAGAGUAGGACAGGAAAGGCCUUGCAGUUAAAGUGGCUGCUAUUGAUCUGGUCAGAUUUCAGUGUGGAGUUAGCCUUUUUGUUCAGUCCUACUGCAAAGGGUCCACUGAUGCUCAGUUUCUUUGCCUUUUGGGUCAGACCGAGUCUGGAUCAGCUUGCUUUGCAGGAUAUUGUUGACUUGCAUGCUUCUUCCAAACAAAGAGCAAAUGUAUUUUUGUCUGUCCUGGCAACUUCUAGUGUCUUAGAAAGCAGUUCCAAUUGUGCAGGAACAACAGAUCAGAUUUAUAUUUACCCAAAUGAAAAAACAUUUUCAGGAGUAUUUUGUCCACUCCCAACCAGUGUCAGCUUACAGGCAGUGACUCUGUUUACCAGUUGUCUGAUUAGAAAUGUCCUGAGCACAAGCACAUAGAUAAGAACACUUCUGAAGCCAGUCCACUAACUAGGUUAGUCGGAAGGAUCAGAACUUGUCACGUAACUGUGAGUCUUGGAAAAAAUGUUCUUUGCUUUGUGUUUAAUUAUUUUUAAGCUAAGUAUUAUGGAGGAAGGGGGGAAAAGAAAGCAACUUCCUGGGCUUCCCGCUUCACACCCAUCCAUUCUCAUUCAUACAAACAAAAAAAUAGCUCUAUAUAUUCCAUGAAUCUCUAUUUUCUGGAUGUAGCCCCAGAAAGCAAAGCUUUCACUUGUGCUAAGGAAUCUCUCUAGGGAGAACAGUUGCUCAUCCCCUUCAGCACUUAGAUAACGAUUUUCCUGUUUCACAGCCAAAAGCUAAUUUUUUUUCCCCCUCUUUUCCUGUGAAUGUCAUGCUAUCCUGUAUUCGGAGAGGAUGGGGGGGGGGAGGGGCAGAGAUGGUAAUUGGCUUACCCACAGAAAUGCAUGCACUAUUAGUUGUUACUAUGUGGAAAAACAGUCUCUACCUGGUUGCUGUGCUACCUUUUCACUGCUACCAGCCUGGCUGUGUCAUGUCCCAAUUCUAACGUCUGUAUUUUCUCAUGUUCACUCUCCUGUAAAUGGAAACAAGACAGAUCAUCUGCACGUUAACUCAUAUGCAUCUCCACUAAAGUGGUAACCAUCUCUGAGUUUGCUUCUUUACCUUAACCAUAUUCAGUUUUGCCUGUCACUGAAGAUAAGCUGUUUUUAACCUACUUUGCACAAGAUUCACGAUACCUGACAAGCUGUGUGUUUACAAGCACAGUUCUUGCAGCUGUAGCCACAAGCAUUUGGUGUGUUUCGCUCAGAAUUACUAAAUAUGCCUCAGUCUUGCAGGAAAAGAUAUGGGAGUUCUUCAGACUAGCUUCUCCUGUAGCUUAUGUAGCUUCCGGUAGCCAGAACAUCAGAAAGGUGCCCAUCUUCAGCUGAAUCUGUCCACGCCACGCUGCUGCUGGAUGACAGAGACAGCAUCAGCCUAUUUCCCCGGCUGCUGGGAGGCUGCUGCUGUAGGCGUUCGCGUGCCUGGACCCCGCGCUGCUUGUUGUUCUGGCACGAGCUGACGCCUCGCUCUCACCGCGGCUGCGAAAGUCCGGGAUGAAAGUCCAGGACCGGAGCCUGGGAUGCGGCCGCAGCCGCGCCUCGGAAGGGGCGGUUCCCGCCUGUCGCGCGCAGACUGUUGAGGCGGAGGGGCGCGAGGCGCGGCUCGUCGUAACGCGGACGGCGCUCCGUUCUGCUGCUCGCAUAGCUCUCGAAGCCCAGCGUGUUUCACAGCAAAGCGAUCACAGUGCAAGAUGAUGAACUUUGAUAAUGAUCCAUCAAUUCAUCCUUUGCUCCAAGUGAGAGUCAACAGGAAGAGAAAGGAGAUGGCAAGUACUGUAAAAUAGGUGUUGUGUUGUCCAUGCCAAGUGAGGGUAUCGCUGAAGAGACGGAUGUGUCUGUGAAUGACCAAGUCACAACUGGCCUUCAAACGAUCAUUCCAUCUGAGACUUUAAUCUAAAGGGAUUUAUUGCAGUGGUACAUCAGAGCAGUACUCCUAAAUCAGGAAAUUUGUGCGAGACUCUUCAAUGGCACUGAUCAUUUGCACUCGAAAUAUGUGCAAAUGGUGCUGUAAGCACCGGUAUGUGCAUAAUACAUGGAAAGUGUAAAAGCUUCAGAUAGAUGGAAGUAUGUUAACGACUUUCAUCGUUUGACCUACUUUGGAAUGCAGUCGAGUACGCAGGUAUCUGGAGCAGUUGUCUCCCAUCGUACAGAGGAGCUGAAAAGCAAAUUCCUUCCUACUACUGAAGCCCCAGACAACAAUGCUGUGCCUUCCAUAGGGAAAGGAUUUCAAGCCCGCGGCUUUGAGAUUACACUGCAGGCUAUAGAGAACGACCUUCGCGUUUUGACAUAAAUGAAUGUAGUUGCCACCUGGUUAUUCUAAAGAAACAGUUUGUGAAACAGCCUGUUUAGUUGCCCGUAGGUCGGUAGCCAUCUGAUAAAGAAAACAGCUGUAGCUU